Molecule: long non-coding RNA, 223 nt
Filed under: Glycine max (soybean)
Lineage: Eukaryota; Viridiplantae; Streptophyta; Magnoliopsida; Fabales; Fabaceae
Description: long non-coding RNA (GMAX_LNC004696)
Source: RNAcentral
AAUACUUGGGCGUCAGCUUCCUAGAUUUGAGAGCUCUUCUGACUCCAGUUACAGGAGAAACCUUCAAAAACACAUGUUCUCCUUCUUGAAAAUCUAAUGGCUUUCUCCUUCUGUCAUAAUAGCUCUUCUGCCUAUCCUGGGAUGCUUUUAUUUUCUCUCGAAUCAAUUUCACUUGUUCGGUAAUUUGUUGUAGCAUUUCAGGCCCAAGGAGUACUGCUUCCCC